UGAAGACAUGGUCUUGGCCCCCAAGGAGCAUGGAGUCCAGUGGUGGGAGGCAUCCGGAAAGCAGCAUCAUGGAGGUUGACCUUUCCCAUUUGGCUGAUAGCAACUCAAGGAUCUUCAUGGCAAACUCUUAUUCACCCUUUAAAAUCCAGUCUUUCACAUCUUUGUAUCUCCAACACUUGAUAAAUAAUUAGGGCUUG
Molecule: long non-coding RNA, 197 nt
Organism: Carlito syrichta (Philippine tarsier)
Lineage: Eukaryota; Metazoa; Chordata; Mammalia; Primates; Tarsiidae
Exons: 2
Source: RefSeq, a predicted model, not a curated record